UGGGGAAUUUUUGGGACAAUGGGCGAAAGCCUGAUCCAGCAAUGCCGCGUGUGUGAAGAAGGCCUUCGGGUUGUAAACCGCUUUUGUCAGGGAAGAAAUCUUCUGAGUUAAUACCUCGGGAGGAUGACGGUACCUGAAGAAUAAGCACCGGCUAACUACGUGCCAGCAGCCGCGGUAAUACGUAGGGUGCAAGCGUUAAUCGGAAUUACUGGGCGUAAAGCGUGCGCAGGCGGUUUUGUAAGACAGAGGUGAAAUCCCCGGGCUCAACCUGGGGAACUGCCUUUGUGACUGCAAGGCUUGAGUGCGGCAGAGGGGGAUGGAAUUCCGCGUGUAGCAGUGAAAUGCGUAGAUAUGCGGAGGAACACCGAUGGCGAAGGCAAUCCCCUGGGCCUGCACUGACGCUCAUGCACGAAAGCGUGGGGAGCAAACAGGAUUAGAUACCCUGGUAGUCCACGCCCUAAACCGAUGUCAACUGGUUGUUGGGAAGGUUCCUUCUCAGUAACGUAGCUAACGCGUGAAGUUGACCGCCUGGGGAGUACGGCCGCAAGGUUGAAACUCAAAUGAAUUGACGGGG
RNAcentral lists this ribosomal RNA (574 nucleotides) under uncultured bacterium. RNAcentral describes it as "partial 16S ribosomal RNA". It matches the Rfam family "Bacterial small subunit ribosomal RNA", at positions 355 to 918 of the family's 1533-position model. The record is from RNAcentral.